This 497-nucleotide ribosomal RNA is filed under the name uncultured bacterium. RNAcentral's name for it is "partial 16S ribosomal RNA". It matches the Rfam family "Bacterial small subunit ribosomal RNA", at positions 28 to 507 of the family's 1533-position model. The record is from RNAcentral.
GAUGAACGCUGGCGGCGUGCCUAAUACAUGCAAGUCGAGCGAACGGACGAGAAGCUUGCUUCUCUGAUGUUAGCGGCGGACGGGUGAGUAACACGUGGAUAACCUACCUAUAAGACUGGGAUAACUUCGGGAAACCGUAGCUAAUACCGGAUAAUAUUUUGAUCCGCAUGGUUCAAAAGUGAAAGACGGUCUUGCUGUCACUUAUAGAUGGAUCCGCGCUGCAUUAGCUAGUUGGUAAGGUAACGGCUUACCAAGGCAACGAUGCAUAGCCGACCUGAGAGGGUGAUCGGCCACACUGGAACUGAGACACGGUCCAGACUCCUACGGGAGGCAGCAGUAGGGAAUCUUCCGCAAUGGGCGAAAGCCUGACGGAGCAACGCCGCGUGAGUGAUGAAGGUCUUCGGAUCGUAAAACUCUGUUAUUAGGGAAGAACAUAUGUGUAAGUAACUGUGCACAUCUUGACGGUACCUAAUCAGAAAGCCACGGCUAACUACGUG